RNAcentral lists this ribosomal RNA (602 nucleotides) under Distoseptispora sinensis. RNAcentral's name for it is "Distoseptispora sp. JL-2022c partial large subunit ribosomal RNA". It matches the Rfam family "Eukaryotic large subunit ribosomal RNA", at positions 67 to 664 of the family's 3401-position model. The record is from RNAcentral. Lineage: Eukaryota; Fungi; Ascomycota; Sordariomycetes; Distoseptisporaceae.
CUUCCCCUUUCCCCUAGUAACGGGCGAGUGAAGCGGCAACAGCUCAGAUUUGAAAUCUGGCCCCUUCGGGGUCCGAGUUGUAAUCUGUAGAGGAUGCUUUUGGCGACGCGCCUUCCGAGUCCCCUGGAACGGGGCGCCAGAGAGGGUGAGAGCCCCGUAUGGUUGGACGCCGAACCUCUGUAAAGCUCCUUCGACGAGUCGAGUAGUUUGGGAAUGCUGCUCAAAAUGGGAGGUAAAUUUCUUCUAAAGCUAAAUACCGGCCAGAGACCGAUAGCGCACAAGUAGAGUGAUCGAAAGAUGAAAAGCACUUUGAAAAGAGGGUCAAAUAGCACGUGAAAUUGCUGAAAGGGAAGCGCUUGUGACCAGACUUGCGCCCGGUUGAUCAUCCAGCGUUCUCGCUGGUGCACUCUGCCGGGCUCAGGCCAGCAUCGGCUCUCCCAGGGGGAUAAAGGUCGCGGGAACGUAGCUCUCUCCGGGGAGUGUUAUAGCCCGUGGCGGAAUGCCCUUAGGGGGGGCCGAGGCCCGCGUUCGCAAGGAUGCUGGCGUAAUGGUCACCAGCGACCCGUCUUGAAACCGGCCCCAAGGGAGUAAAAUUGCCUAAU